RNAcentral lists this unclassified non-coding RNA (318 nucleotides) under uncultured fungus. RNAcentral's name for it is "partial contains 5.8S ribosomal RNA, internal transcribed spacer 2, and large subunit ribosomal RNA". Lineage: Eukaryota; Fungi. The record is from RNAcentral.
AACGCACCUUGCGCUUCUUGGUAUCCACUCCAAGGAGCAUGUCUGUUUGAGUGUCAUGAAAUUCUCAAAUUUCAUUCUUGACUUUGACGAGUUCGGAUUGAAUUUUGGAUUGUGGAAGUUGCCGGCUUGAAAGGUCUGCUCUUCUCAAAUAAAUUAGCAAAGAGUUUUGAUUUGGUGCUCUUUUGGUAUAAUAAAAUUCUUGUACCAGUUUGAAAUCCAAUUUUCUUUCAAGAAAUGAAACUUGUGCUUCCAAUAGUCUGUUUAAGACAAAACUGACAAUUUGACCUCAAAUCAGAUAAGACUACCCGCUGAACUUAA